AUGGGGCGCUCGAAGGCAGUCGAUGAAGCCGAGUGGCAGGAAGUCCUCUCGAUCCGCGACGAGUUUGGUGCAGUUCAACAGGAAAAUGCAGCCAUGCGAACAGAUGUGUCCAAAUUACAAGAAGAUGUUCAGUCGAUCAGUUCCAAACAAGGUGAAAUAGCUCUGCAAGUUGGAGGAAUUGAAAGAGCUGUGUUAGAUCUGGGCAAACAACUAUCCACAAUGAGUUCAGUCUUGCAGAAAUUGGUGGCUCCAUCGGGGUCGGGCACUAGAACUGAGCAACAAACUGGAGAUGACACUGUUGUUAGAUCCCCAACGCUGCAACAGCAACAGCAGGACAGACCACCUAGCAGAACUGCACAGCUGAGACAACAAUUAGAAGUAGAAAAGGAAAAGACCAGACAAAUGGAAGAACUACAUAUGCAACAACUACCUCAGAUCAGAACUGCCAUAACUGCACCACCACCUGGGUUUGGAGCUCAAGCUAACUUGGAGACAACAAGUGCUAUUGGAACACUGGUAACACAGAGAAGGGGGGGUCACACUCCUGCUUUCCAACAGUAUCAGCAACCAGCUCGGGACAGACAGUUAUGGCAGGGUUACUUCAGAACUUAUGAGCAGGAUAUGCAGGCUCAAUUCAUGAAAGCAAUGACAAAAGGUCCAAGGAUGGAUUUUCCUAGAUUCUCUGGUGAAGAUCCUGUGGGUUGGAUUAGACAGUGUAACAAGUAUUUCCAAAUGGCAGCAGCACCUGAAGAGUACAAGGUCUCACUUUCCCAGAUGUACAUAACUGGAGAGGCUGAUGUAUGGUUGAGAAGAUCUGGUUUACUCAAGAAACAAUUGUCAUGGCAAGAAUUUGGAAAAGAAAUCAUCAAGAGAUUUUCUGCACAAGGCUCUUAUGAUCUCACUGAAAAAUCCACUUCUCUUAAACAAGGCAGCACUUCAAUAUCUGAGUACACCAAGUUAUUUGAGGACUUAAUGGCUGAACUGCAGGAGGAAAAUCCUACACUGUCUGAACCCUGGUUUAUUAAGUGCUAUGUGAAUGGGAGGAGAGAUGGAAUUAAAUACCAACUGAGACUUCUUCGACCCACUUCUCUGACUGAUGCGUACUGUUUGGCAAAGGAGAUUGAACCUUGUCACCCUCCUCCUGUGACACAGGUCAAGAAGUCCACAGUACCUUACAAUAACUACUGGCAGAAAACUGUAACACCUGCAGCUGGCAAACAAGUAAUCAACACUGUAGCAGUUCCAACAACUACUGCCACAAAGAACACUGAACAUAUUAAUAGCCAAAAUCAGAAAAGCAGAAAAGCUGGGGAAUGUUGGAGAUGUGGUGAUAAAUGGUUCCAUGCCCAUAAAUGCACUCUAGUUCCUAAUGUGCACAUGUUACAACAAGAAAUGGAAGAAUCUGGUCCAGAAGAAACAGACCCUGAUCAACAAGAAGUAGUGGAAGAAGGGACAGAACAACAGGAGCAAGCAAUGUUUGUCUCUGCCCAUGCUAUGGGCCAGCAACUUGCUGUGCAUUCUCCUACUGUAAUUGUGCAUGUAAAUGGAAAAAGGGCAGUAGCACUGCUGGAUACAGGAAGUUCAAUCUCUUUCAUCAGUGAACAGUUUGCUAUUAAAUCCAACUGUCAAUUCCUCCCUGUUAGACCCAGAAAGGUUUCUGUAGCUGGAGGGGGUUUACUGCUUUCUGCUGCUGUAGUUCCAAAUUGUGUUUUUCAACUAGCCAAACUGAAGUUGGAACACUCUUUCAGAAUUCUCAACCUCCCUAGUCAUGAUAUGAUUCUAGGGUAUGAUUGGUUUUCAUUGGUCAGUCCUGUGGCUUUUGAUGUGCCACACAAUCAGUUCAGCUUCACUAUCCAAGGCAAAACAACAGUCACAACUGCAGUUUACAACCCCAGUGAGGAAAUCUUGGAAAUACCAGCAGAACAAGUCACUAAGCUGUUGGACAAGGGUGUGGAAACUUUUCUUCUUCAAAUUCACAACAUAGUGGCUCAAACUCCUGAAAGGCACUGUAUUCCAGCUGCAAUAAACAACUUGUUACAGGAAUACAAGGAUGUUUUUGCAGAACCAACAACAUUACCUCCCAAGAGAGAAUUGGAUCAUAAAAUCCCCUUGAUGCCAGGAGUUGAUCCACCUCAUGUAAGGCCUUAUAGAGUUCCUCAUCACCAAAAGGAAGAAAUGGAGAAGCAGAUCAAACACCUACUGGAUAAUAAGCUCAUAAGAAAUAGUCAGAGUCCAUAUGCAGCUCUUGUUCUUCUAGUUAAAAAGAAAGACAGUACUAUGAGGCUCUGUACUGAUUUUAGAAGGCUGAACACUGUAACAGUGAAGGACAAAUUCCCUAUACCAGUAAUUGAGGACCUACUGGAUGAGUUGCAUGGAGCAAAGAUUUUUUCAAAAAUUGACUUAAGGUCAGGAUAUCAGCAGAUAAGAAUGGACCCUGCAGACAUUCAUAAAACUGCAUUCAGAACUUUUUUGGGGCACUAUGAAUAUUUGGUGAUGCCCUUUGGAUUAUCUAAUGCACCAGCAACAUUCCAAGCUCUCAUGAACCUCUUGUUUGCUAAGUACAACAGGAAGUUUGUACUGGUAUUCUUUGAUGAUAUCCUAGUGUUCAGCAAUACAAGUGAAGAGCAUGUGGAACAUUUAAAACAAGUACUGCAAAUCUUGAGAGAAAACCAGCUGUUUGCAAAAAUGUCCAAGUGUGCUUUUGCAGUUUCUCCGGUGGAAUAUUUGGGACAUGUAGUUUCUGGUGAAGGAUUAGCUACUGAACCCAGCAAGAUUAAAGCAAUUGUGGACUGGCCUACACCCACUGAUAUCACUAAGUUAAGAAGUUUCUUGGGCCUAGCUGGUUACUACAGAAGGUUCAUCAAAGAUUAUGGAACAAUUUGCAGGCCAUUACAUGAUGCUCUUAAGAAAGGAAAAUUUCUGUGGACAGCAGAGCAAGAUAAGGCUUUCAGAAAAUUACAACAAGCUUUGGUAACAGCUCCAGUACUGGCCCUGCCCAAUUUCAAUGUCCCUUUUACAUUAGAAACUGAUGCUUCAGGCUAUGGCAUUGGUGUUGUGCUUAUGCAAGAGGGCAGACCAUUGGCAUACUACAGUUCUUCACUCUGUCUAAGAAAUGCUGCCCUAUCUACUUAUGAGAAAGAAGCACUAGCAAUCUUAGGCUGUGUUUGGUUGGACAGAUUGUCCCAACUUCUGCUUUUUAGAAGCUAA
RNAcentral lists this ribosomal RNA (3207 nucleotides) under Triticum aestivum (bread wheat). Its description in RNAcentral is "partial small subunit ribosomal RNA". The record is from RNAcentral. Lineage: Eukaryota; Viridiplantae; Streptophyta; Magnoliopsida; Poales; Poaceae.